RNAcentral lists this ribosomal RNA (606 nucleotides) under uncultured bacterium. RNAcentral describes it as "bacterial SSU rRNA". It matches the Rfam family "Bacterial small subunit ribosomal RNA", at positions 928 to 1532 of the family's 1533-position model. The record is from RNAcentral.
AGCGGCGGAGCAUGCGGAUUAAUUCGAUGCAACGCGAAGAACCUUACCAAGGCUUGACAUACACCAGAACACCGUAGAAAUACGGGACUCUUUGGACACUGGUGAACAGGUGGUGCAUGGUUGUCGUCAGCUCGUGUCGUGAGAUGUUGGGUUAAGUCCCGCAACGAGCGCAACCCUCGUUCUAUGUUGCCAGCACGUAAUGGUGGGAACUCAUGGGAUACUGCCGGGGUCAACUCGGAGGAAGGUGGGGAUGACGUCAAAUCAUCAUGCCCCUUAUGUCUUGGGCUUCACGCAUGCUACAAUGGCCGGUACAAAGGGCUGCAAUACCGUGAGGUGGAGCGAAUCCCAAAAAGCCGGUCCCAGUUCGGAUUGAGGUCUGCAACUCGACCUCAUGAAGUCGGAGUCGCUAGUAAUCGCAGAUCAGCAACGCUGCGGUGAAUACGUUCCCGGGCCUUGUACACACCGCCCGUCAAGUCAUGAAAGUCGGUAACACCUGAAGCCGGUGGCCCAACCCUUGUGGAGGGAGCCGUCGAAGGUGGGAUCGGUAAUUAGGAGUAAGUCGUAACAAGGUAGCCGUACCGGAAGGUGCGGCUGGAUCACCUCCUU